AACGAACGCUGGCGGCAGGCCUAACACAUGCAAGUCGAACGCCCUAGCAAUAGGGAGUGGCAGACGGGUGAGUAACACGUGGGAACGUGCCCUUCGGUUCGGAAUAACUCAGGGAAACUUGAGCUAAUACCGGAUACGUGUGAGAGCAGAAAGAUUUAUCGCCGAAGGGUCGGCCCGCGUCCGAUUAGCUAGUUGGUGAGGUAAUGGCUCACCAAGGCGACGAUCGGUAGCUGGUCUGAGAGGAUGACCAGCCACACUGGGACUGAGACACGGCCCAAACUCCUACGGGAGGCAGCAGUGGGGAAUAUUGGACAAUGGGCGCAAGCCUGAUCCAGCCAUGCCGCGUGAGUGAUGAAGGCCUUAGGGUUGUAAAGCUCUUUCACCGAUGAAGAUAAUGACGGUAGUCGGAGAAGAAGCCCCGGCUAACUUCGUGCCAGCCGCCGCGGUAA
RNAcentral lists this ribosomal RNA (449 nucleotides) under uncultured bacterium. Its description in RNAcentral is "partial 16S ribosomal RNA". It matches the Rfam family "Bacterial small subunit ribosomal RNA", at positions 29 to 523 of the family's 1533-position model. The record is from RNAcentral.